Non-coding RNA from Cinara cedri, 224 nucleotides. Lineage: Eukaryota; Metazoa; Arthropoda; Insecta; Hemiptera; Aphididae. The record is from the annotation of a GenBank genome assembly.
AGUGUCGGCGUUUACAUUUCCGGAUUGCGUGUACUCAAUACGAAGGUUUUAUAAUACGCCUAGUGACGUGAUGCGCGUAUAUGUGCGCCGACUGAAGCAGCGGUUUUCUUCUACGCGUUCGGGUCCGCGGCUCUUGCGAUUUUUAAAUCCGAAUUAGAGACGACCGCUCCGUCGCGAACAAUGACGACAAUACAAAUUGAAACAAACAAACGGACCGCGUUACU